ACGGAGGGUGCGAGCGUUGUUCGGAUUUACUGGGCGUAAAGGGCGCGUAGGCGGUCUUGUAAGCCAGAUGUGAAAGCCCACGGCUCAACCGUGGAAGUGCAUCUGGAACUGUGAGACUUGAGUACUGGAGGGGAGUGUGGAAUUCCCGGUGUAGAGGUGAAAUUCGUAGAUAUCGGGAGGAAUACCGGUGGCGAAGGCGACACUCUGGACAGAUACUGACGCUGAGGCGCGAAAGCGUGGGGAGCAAACAGGAUUAGAUACCCUGGUAGUCCACAGCUGUAAACGAUGUGCACUAGGUGUGGGGGGUCGUUGACCCUUUCCGUGCCGUAGCUAACGCGAUAAGUGCACCGCCUGGGGAGUACGGUCGCAAGAUUA
RNAcentral lists this ribosomal RNA (375 nucleotides) under uncultured bacterium. RNAcentral's name for it is "bacterial SSU rRNA". It matches the Rfam family "Bacterial small subunit ribosomal RNA", at positions 525 to 896 of the family's 1533-position model. The record is from RNAcentral.